GCCCCCGUAGCUCAGUGGAUAGAGCAUUGGAUUCCUAAUCCAUGUGUGCAAGUUCGAUUCUCGCCGGGGGUACCA
This 75-nucleotide transfer RNA is filed under the name Desulfamplus sp. Its description in RNAcentral is "tRNA-Arg". It matches the Rfam family "tRNA". From Rfam's summary of the family: Transfer RNA (tRNA) molecules are approximately 80 nucleotides in length. Lineage: Bacteria; Pseudomonadati; Thermodesulfobacteriota; Desulfobacteria; Desulfobacterales; Desulfobacteraceae. The record is from RNAcentral.